This 653-nucleotide long non-coding RNA is filed under the name Rattus norvegicus (Norway rat). RNAcentral describes it as "long non-coding RNA NONRATT015270". Lineage: Eukaryota; Metazoa; Chordata; Mammalia; Rodentia; Muridae. The record is from RNAcentral.
UUCUUGUGAGGCUCCCAAAUUUGUCUGCAUCCGGAGAAAGAGGAACACUCCUCCAUUGUUGGUGGGAUUGCAAACUGGUACAACCAUUCUGGAAAUCAGUCUGGAGGUUCCUCAGAAAAUUGGACAUUGAACUGCCUGAGGAUCCAGCUAUACCUCUCUUGGGCAUAUACCCAAAAGAUGCCCCAACAUAUAAAAAAGACACGUACUCCACUAUGUUCAUCGCAGCCUUAUUUAUAAUAGCCAGAAGCUGGAAAGAACCCAGAUGCCCUUCAACAGAGGAAUGGAUACAGAAAAUGUGGUACAUCUACACAAUGGAAUAUUACUCAGCUAUCAAAAACAACGGCUUUAUGAAAUUCGUAGGCAAAUGGUUGGAACUGGAAAAUAUCAUUCUGAGUGAGCUAACCCAAUCACAGAAAGACAUACAUGGUAUGCACUCAUUGAUAAGUGGCUAUUAGCCCAAAUGCUUGAAUUACCCUAGAUGCCUAGAACAAAUGAAACUCAAGACGGAUGAUCAAAAUGUGAAUGUUUCACGCCUUCUUUAAAAGGGGAACAAGAAUACCCUUGGCAGGGAAGAGAGAGGCAAAGAUUAAAACAGAGACUGAAGUAACACCCAUUCAGAGCCUGCCCCACAUGUGGCCCAUACAUAUACAGCC